Molecule: ribosomal RNA, 578 nt
Filed under: uncultured bacterium
Lineage: Bacteria
Description: bacterial SSU rRNA
Rfam family: Bacterial small subunit ribosomal RNA
Source: RNAcentral
CCUACGGGAGGCAGCAGUAAGGAAUAUUGGACAAUGGCCGCAAGGCUGAUCCAGCCAUGCCGCGUGCAGGAAGAAGGCCCUAUGGGUCGUAAACUGCUUUUGAACCAGAGAAAACCCCACUACGUGUAGUGGGCUGAUAGUAUGGUUAGAAUAAGCAUCGGCUAACUUCGUGCCAGCAGCCGCGGUAAGACGAAGGAUGCAAGCGUUAUCCGGAUUCAUUGGGUUUAAAGGGAGCGUAGGCGGACUUGUAAGUCAGUGGUGAAAUCUGUGGGCUUAACCCACAAACUGCCAUUGAUACUGCAGGUCUAGAGUACAGUUGCCGUUGGCGGAAUAUGACAUGUAGUGGUGAAAUACUUAGAUAUGUCAUAGAACACCGAUUGCGAAGGCAGCUAACGAAGCUGUAACUGACGCUGAGGCUCGAAAGUGCGGGGAUCAAACAGGAUUAGAUACCCUGGUAGUCCGCACUGUAAACGAUGAUUACUCGUUGCUGGAAAGCAAUUUUCAGUGACCAAGCGAAAGCGAUAAGUAAUCCACCUGGGGAGUACGCCGGCAACGGUGAAACUCAAAGGAAUUGACGG